AACGAUCCCUACUUACAUACUUACUACAAUUGAUAAAAAGAGGGUUAAUUUGAGUGCUAGUUAAUAUCAUAUCACCUCAUCAAUACUUAUAGUUUUCAUGAAGCUUAAUGAUCUUUGAUUGUACCUUUAUUGUGCUUUUCACGUAGGGGACUUUUAAAGAAUGUUUUGAAUUGUUGUAUGUGCUUUCCCAUCCAAUUCAAUAACUUAAGGAGAACUUGAAGGUUAAAAAAGUGCUGUCACGGUUAACCUAGGGUAUUGAGUUCAUGGUCUAUUGAAAGAAACAAUUGCAAAUCAAUUUGAAUGCAAGUGUGUCAUGUGUGGAGAAGAACCCUCUAGCUAGCCCAUUGAUGUGAAAAUUAACUUGACACACAAAUUAAACCCUAUUUGUGACAAUUGUAGUAAUGAUGUAAGUAGGGAUCGUUCUAACCGGGGAUUAACUAGGGGUGCUAAUCUAAUACAAAUCGACUUAGAAACACAAAAACUAAACUUAAAGACUCUAAUUAGACUACUAAGAUUCAAAACAGAUUUGAAACACUCAAAUCUGCCCAAAACUGACUAAAACAAGUUAAUUGACUCAAACAGCAACUAAGACAAGAUUUGGACGAAUUUGACAAAACUUAUGACUCAAAAUACUUAAAAACACCAAAGAGGACAGAUUAUGAAGACUCAAACUUAACAAAAUAUGGGGGAAUUGUGAUGAAUCAAUGGGUGAUGGAAUGGCUAAGGGGUUCUUCUCCACACAUGAAAUUUAUGCAACAUAAUCGAUUUCCAGUUAUCAAUUCAAUAAGUUAUGAACCUCGACACUCCAAGUUAAUUAGGUCCGCUUAAAUUAACUUUCAGAUAUCCCUAGAAUCAUUGAAUUGGAUGAAUAUGCAUCGCAAACAAAUUAUUCCUAACAAGUUCUCUAU
This 908-nucleotide long non-coding RNA is filed under the name Malus domestica (apple). Its description in RNAcentral is "long non-coding RNA (MDOM_LNC020742)". Lineage: Eukaryota; Viridiplantae; Streptophyta; Magnoliopsida; Rosales; Rosaceae. The record is from RNAcentral.